UGUAAGGGGGGUCUGGCUGAGACGUCUGUCUGUCUCCCCCACUGGUUGCCAGGGUGAUCUGGCUGAUCAGGCUGGCUAGGCAGGUGUCCUCUUACUCCUUCACAGC
This 106-nucleotide small nuclear RNA is filed under the name Cricetulus griseus (Chinese hamster). RNAcentral's name for it is "7SK RNA". It matches the Rfam family "7SK RNA", at positions 4 to 105 of the family's 331-position model. From Rfam's summary of the family: 7SK was discovered as an abundant small nuclear RNA in the mid-70s but a possible function has only recently been suggested. Two independent studies have found that 7SK RNA binds the CDK9/cyclin T complex (known as elongation factor P-TEFb). Lineage: Eukaryota; Metazoa; Chordata; Mammalia; Rodentia; Cricetidae. The record is from Rfam by way of RNAcentral.